Microplitis mediator is the source of this 452-nucleotide long non-coding RNA. RefSeq lists it as uncharacterized. The record is from RefSeq and is a predicted model, not a curated record. Lineage: Eukaryota; Metazoa; Arthropoda; Insecta; Hymenoptera; Braconidae. The transcript has 3 exons.
AUUGAAACAACAAUUAUGCAACAACAGCGUGCUAUUGGCCAACAAACGCAUUACAAAUAUCGCGAUUUAUCAUAUUUCAUAGUUAGUUUUUUGAACUACCAACGUGCAAAUACUCGAAUCUUGAUUUAAGCAGACUAAAAAUCAAAAUGUCAAAAAUAAUUUUAUUAUUGACAAUUUUCGCUUUAUGUAGUUUCUAUGCUUAUGGAGCCGACGAAUGUCACGGUGUUUGGUGUCAUCCUUCUGGAGGCUUUAGUUGCGAAUGCCCGGGUUAUGAAUGUAGUAAUCGAAUGGGGAAAGGAAUUUGCCUGACUCACGAUGAAAUACUAGAAGAGACAUACUCUCAUUCAAAAUAGAUAAAAUAGUAACUAAAAAUUUACGACGGAAAAAUGGCACCUCUUGGAUUUUACAAUAUGUCUUUAUAGUUAUAUCAAUAAAUACCAUAAUAAAAACAA